This 492-nucleotide ribosomal RNA is filed under the name uncultured bacterium. Its description in RNAcentral is "partial 16S ribosomal RNA". It matches the Rfam family "Bacterial small subunit ribosomal RNA", at positions 29 to 507 of the family's 1533-position model. The record is from RNAcentral.
AGUGAACGCUGGCGGUAGGCCUAACACAUGCAAGUCGAACGGCAGCACAGUAAGAGUUUGCUCUUACGGGUGGCGAGUGGCGGACGGGUGAGGAAUACAUCGGAAUCUACUUUUUCGUGGGGGAUAACGUAGGGAAACUUAUGCUAAUACCGCAUACGACCUACGGGUGAAAUCAGGGGAUCUUCGGACCUUGCGCGACUGAUUUAGCUGACGUCGGAUGAGCUAGUUGGCAAGGUAAAGGCCGACCAAGGCAACGAUCCGUAGCUGCUCGGAGAGGGUGAGAGGCAACACUGGAAAUGAGACACGGUCAAGACGCCUACGGGAGGAAGAAGGAGGGAAGAGUCCGCAAGGGGCGAAAGCCGGACGGAGCAACGACGCGUGAGUGAUGAAGGUCUUCGGAUCGGAAAACGCUGUUAUUAGGGAAGAACAAAUGUGUAAGUAAAUAUGCACGUCUGGACGGUACCUAAUCAGAAAGCCACGGCUAACUACGUG